This is a non-coding RNA of Mus caroli (Ryukyu mouse), 1072 nucleotides long. The record is from RefSeq and is a predicted model, not a curated record. NCBI's taxonomy places the organism in Eukaryota, Metazoa, Chordata, Mammalia, Rodentia, Muridae.
CAUCUCUCUGUGUAGUUAGGAUUCACCUUGCAUGCCUGAUUUUCCUAUCUCUGCCUCUCCAGCACUGGGAUUNCAUGCAUUUAUAUGAUCCCUGCAACCUCCUCUGUGGGUUCAUACUGAAUAGUGAGAACUACAAUCCCACUGACGUCACUACUCUGCAGUAGAGGCCACUGUCCACAGGUCCUGCCACAUUUGCCUGUCUAGAACUUUCUGUCUGCUCAAUCCUCAGAGAAGAUGUCCUAGUGGACUUUCCGGCUGACACUGGGAAUGAGUGUGCCAGGCAGACAUGCAGUCCCACUAUCCUGUUUGUCCCCAGAGGGAUGGCACACAAGGAGGCAAGAGAUUUGNCUGAGGUUGGAUAGGACCUGGCACUCACUAAGGUCUUGUUACAGACACCUACAAUCUCCUCUCUAAGAAGGCUUCCAUCAUGUUUGCAAGUGCCACCNCUCACCAUGAUAUGGGCUAGGAAGAAAAUCCAUGACCAGGNCUUAGUGUGGCCAUGUGGCUUAUAGGCUGUCAGACANCUGUCCUCAUGCCCCUAGGGACCUGAGUGAAGCAGAGUGAUAGAGGCUUCAGUGGGUAGCAGACAAUGUGGAGGUUGCAGAAACUGUCUUGUGUUUCUAUCCUUUNUUCCAGUCACAGGUUCCAGCCUUGAGAGUGGUAGAGAUAUCCUGGAGUCCCCCACAUCCUCAGUGGAGCACACUCAGCCCAGUGUGACCACAGAUGACACAAUUCCUGCUCCCUGCCCUCAGCCUCGGUCUCUUCGGAGCAGCCUCUACUUCUGGGUCCUGGUGUCUCUGAAGUUGUUCCUGUUCCUGAGCAUGCUUGGUGCUGUCCUCUGGGUAAAUUUGCCUCAGAAGUGCUCUGGGGGAAGCAGCACUCAGCCCUGUUAUGAGAACCAGUGAAGUCUGUUGACAUCAAGGCCCUGUCCCUUGACACAGCUCCUCUGGUGGCUGAGGACAGCCAGUAAAUACAUAUUUCUUGAGAAUGCUCUGAGACUUUUAGAAGAUUCUUUGUGGUGUGUCAAAAACACAAAAGAAUUUACCAAAUAAAUACGUAUAUAUUUAAAUGA